GCUCCGGUUCGGCGACGGGUUCGGGUUCCGGCGCGGGCUCGGGUUCCGCGGUCGGCUCGGCCGUGGGCUCCGCCGGCGGUUCAGCCGUCGGCUCUGCGGUG
Molecule: transfer RNA, 101 nt
Filed under: Alphaproteobacteria bacterium SO-S41
Lineage: Bacteria; Pseudomonadati; Pseudomonadota; Alphaproteobacteria
Description: tRNA-Pro
Source: RNAcentral